AAAGGGAAGGAUCACUGAAGAUAGGAAGAAUGGAUUAUGGGCAAGUUCCUCUGAAUCAAAAUCGCCCAUUGGAUACUAUGAAUUUAUUUGCUUUAAUUAGCCUCCCCAAAGAAAAAUCACCCUCUGCCAAUGCAAGGGGCACAUUUGAUCAAGCAGACUCUUCCAUUCUCUCACGACCAUCUUUCAUUAACUUGAAGACCUGACCACCCCAACCUAUUAUUCUCUGUUCUUCUCCAAUUUUCCAAGUUAUUUGGCUACUCUGCUCUGAGCCUUUUGGAUAAUGUUUCAUGGUUGUUCUUGUAUAACGUGGUUGCGUGGUGUCAGUUGUGAAAACCUCCAAAACGUGGCAGCCAUCUUGGAAGCUAUCACUAUAUGGCCAAAAAGAUGGAGCUGAUAUCUGUGACUCAAUGUGCUUCUGAAUAAACUAAUGAUGCAUUUA
Long non-coding RNA from Xenopus tropicalis (tropical clawed frog), 439 nucleotides. RefSeq lists it as uncharacterized. The transcript has 2 exons. The record is from RefSeq and is a predicted model, not a curated record. NCBI's taxonomy places the organism in Eukaryota, Metazoa, Chordata, Amphibia, Anura, Pipidae.